RNAcentral lists this long non-coding RNA (217 nucleotides) under Panax ginseng (ginseng). Its description in RNAcentral is "long non-coding RNA (PGIN_LNC013630)". Lineage: Eukaryota; Viridiplantae; Streptophyta; Magnoliopsida; Apiales; Araliaceae. The record is from RNAcentral.
AUUGAUAAUUAUACCUUGACACGUGGACUAUAAUCUUGUACUGUUAGAACACCAUAACAUCACACAGAACUUGAUGAAAUUAAGGCACAAAGUAGUUAUCAAACACUGCCUGGGUUACCCAGAAACCCAGGAAGGGCCUGACAGUCACUUUGAACCUCUAGAUCUUGCUAGUAUGUUGUCAUAUGACCCUGUUAGUUGAUGAUUCAUGUAGUAUUAC